GAUGAAGAACGUAGCGAAAUGCGAUACUUGGUGUGAAUUGCAGAAUCCCGUGAACCAUCGAGUCUUUGAACGCAAGUUGCGCCUCAAGCCAUUAGGUUGAGGGCACGUCUGCCUGGGCGUCACAUAUCGUUGCCUGAUGCCAGUUUCCUCGUGAUGGGUGACUGUGCAGGGCGAAUGAUGGCUUCCCGUGAGCAUUGUUGCCUCAUGGUUGGUUGAAAAUUGAGUCCUUGGUAGGGAGCGCCGUGAUAGAUGGUGGUUGAGUGACGAACGAGACCCAAUCAUGUGAGACCCCUACCGAAUUUGGCCUUCAUGACCCACAUGCGUCUUUGGAACGCUCAUGACGAGACCUCAGGUCAGGCGGGGCUACCCGCUGAGUUCAAGCAUAUCAUAAGCGGAGGA
This 399-nucleotide unclassified non-coding RNA is filed under the name soil metagenome. RNAcentral's name for it is "partial contains 5.8S ribosomal RNA, internal transcribed spacer 2, and large subunit ribosomal RNA". The stretch from base 1 to 122 matches the Rfam family "5.8S ribosomal RNA", at positions 35 to 154 of the family's 154-position model. The record is from RNAcentral.